GGAUGGGAAGUGGCGGGUGCUUACCAUGCAAGUCGAACGGUGAAGCAGAGCUUGCUCUGUGGAUCAGUGGCGAACGGGUGAGUAACACGUGAGCAACCUGCCCCUGACUCUGGGAUAAGCGCUGGAAACGGCGUCUAAUACUGGAUAUGAGCUGCGACCGCAUGGUCAGCAGUUGGAAAGAUUUUUCGGUCUGGGAUGGGCUCACGGCCUAUCAGCUUGUUGGUGAGGUAAUGGCUCACCAAGGCGUCGACGGGUAGCCGGCCUGAGAGGGUGACCGGCCACACUGGGACUGAGACACGGCCCAGACUCCUACGGGAGGCAGCAGUGGGGAAUAUUGCACAAUGGGCGAAAGCCUGAUGCAGCAACGCCGCGUGAGGGAUGACGGCCUUCGGGUUGUAAACCUCUUUUAGCAGGGAAGAAGCGAAAGUGACGGUACCUGCAGAAAAAGCGCCGGCUAACUACGUGCCAGCAGCCGCGGUAAUACGUAGGGCGCAAGCGUUAUCCGGAAUUAUUGGGCGUAAAGAGCUCGUAGGCGGUUUGUCGCGUCUGCUGUGAAAUCCCGAGGCUCAACCUCGGGUCUGCAGUGGGUACGGGCAGACUAGAGUGCGGUAGGGGAGAUUGGAAUUCCUGGUGUAGCGGUGGAAUGCGCAGAUAUCAGGAGGAACACCGAUGGCGAAGGCAGAUCUCUGGGCCGUUACUGACGCUGAGGAGCGAAAGGGUGGGGAGCAAACAGGCUUAGAUACCCUGGUAGUCCACCCCGUAAACGUUGGGAACUAGUUGUGGGGUCCAUUCCACGGAUUCCGUGACGCAGCUAACGCAUUAAGUUCCCCGCCUGGGGAGUACGGCCGCAAGGCUAAAACUCAAAGGAAUUGACGGGGACCCGCACAAGCGGCGGAGCAUGCGGAUUAAUUCGAUGCAACGCGAAGAACCUUACCAAGGCUUGACAUAUACGAGAACGGGCCAGAAAUGGUCAACUCUUUGGACACUCGUAAACAGGUGGUGCAUGGUUGUCGUCAGCUCGUGUCGUGAGAUGUUGGGUUAAGUCCCGCAACGAGCGCAACCCUCGUUCUAUGUUGCCAGCACGUAAUGGUGGGAACUCAUGGGAUACUGCCGGGGUCAACUCGGAGGAAGGUGGGGAUGACGUCAAAUCAUCAUGCCCCUUAUGUCUUGGGCUUCACGCAUGCUACAAUGGCCGGUACAAAGGGCUGCAAUACCGUGAGGUGGAGCGAAUCCCAAAAAGCCGGUCCCAGUUCGGAUUGAGGUCUGCAACUCGACCUCAUGAAGUCGGAGUCGCUAGUAAUCGCAGAUCAGCAACGCUGCGGUGAAUACGUUCCCGGGUCUUGUACACACCGCCCGUCAAGUCAUGAAAGUCGGUAACACCUGAAGCCGGUGGCCCAACCCUUGUGGAGGGAGCCGUCGAAGUGGAGUGGAU
Molecule: ribosomal RNA, 1432 nt
Filed under: Microbacterium oleivorans
Lineage: Bacteria; Bacillati; Actinomycetota; Actinomycetes; Micrococcales; Microbacteriaceae
Description: bacterial SSU rRNA
Rfam family: Bacterial small subunit ribosomal RNA
Source: RNAcentral